GGCACCAUGCAGGGUGAGGAGGGGGAGCCAGGACUCUUUCCAGGGCCCCGAGUUGCACCUGCCUACUCCCCCUGUGACACCAGUCCUGCCUUCCUGUCUGGUGCAGGGGUGGGGGGACUUCCCACCUCUGAAGAAGAACAGCCAAGGAGGGAGGGACAGGAAGGACAUGGCACUCCAGGAGGUCACACAAGGAUCACCAGGCACUGGGCAGACACGAAGGAACAAGAUGCCCACCCUCAAGCACUCAGAACCAAGGAACUUGGUAGACACAUCGCUGGGCAAUGUGGUCCUUGUAGACACAGCAGGCUAUUCUCACAAGCCAGGAUGGGUGAAGAUAGCCUCACCCCUGCAUAGGAGCAGGGAGCCUGGCUGGGGCCACUCCAGGAAAGAGUCAUCAUAUUGUAAAGACCGAUCAUAAAAAGAUGCAUCAAUCUGUCAGGACGCCUGGUAUUUGUUUGGCAUGCACAGCGCCCCAAGGCAUCUGGACUCCAGGCUGGCCCUGCACAGUUUCACCUCUCCACCAGGGGUCCCUGCCGUGGCUCUGGACCUAGCUUGGGCUUCACGGAGUCUUUAUAUGAAUCCUUACCAUCUCGGGUGGCAGCUUUGCAUCCUGAAGAAGGACACCGUGUCUGGGGAAUGACCCCAGCCUCAUACCUAGAACACUUCUGCUUGACAACUAAUCAAUAUUGUCAAUCUCCGACAAUACUGCAGAAAUAUCUGCCUUUUGUUUUAUUCUUUUAGAAAAUCACAUAAGCUGUAAAUAAGCAUAUAAA
This is a non-coding RNA of Heterocephalus glaber (naked mole-rat), 773 nucleotides long. NCBI's taxonomy places the organism in Eukaryota, Metazoa, Chordata, Mammalia, Rodentia, Bathyergidae. The record is from RefSeq and is a predicted model, not a curated record.